This 497-nucleotide ribosomal RNA is filed under the name uncultured bacterium. RNAcentral's name for it is "partial 16S ribosomal RNA". It matches the Rfam family "Bacterial small subunit ribosomal RNA", at positions 28 to 507 of the family's 1533-position model. The record is from RNAcentral.
GAUGAACGCUGGCGGCGUGCCUAAUACAUGCAAGUCGAGCGAACGGACGAGAAGCUUGCUUCUCUGAUGUUAGCGGCGGACGGGUGAGUAACACGUGGAUAACCUACCUAUAAGACUGGGAUAACUUCGGGAAACCGGAGCUAAUACCGGAUAAUAUUUUGAACCGCAUGGUUCAAAAGUGAAAGACGGUCUUGCUGUCACUUAUAGAUGGAUCCGCGCUGCAUUAGCUAGUUGGUAAGGUAACGGCUUACCAAGGCAACGAGGCAUAGCCGACUGCAGAGGGUGAUCGGCCACACUGGAGCUGAGACACGGUCCAGACUCCUACGGGAGGCAGCAGUAGGGAAUCUUCCGCAAUGGUCGAAAGCCUGACGGAGCAACGCCGCGUGAGUGAUGAAGGUCUUCGGAUCGUAAAACUCUGUUAUUAGGGAAGAACAUAUGUGUAAGUAACUGUGCACAGCUUGACGGUACCUAAUCAGAAAGCCACGGCUAACUACGUG